RNAcentral lists this ribosomal RNA (432 nucleotides) under uncultured Rickettsiaceae bacterium. Its description in RNAcentral is "bacterial SSU rRNA". It matches the Rfam family "Bacterial small subunit ribosomal RNA", at positions 342 to 791 of the family's 1533-position model. The record is from RNAcentral. Lineage: Bacteria; Pseudomonadati; Pseudomonadota; Alphaproteobacteria; Rickettsiales; Rickettsiaceae.
CGGGGGGCAGCAGUGAGGAAUAUUGGACAAUGGGCGAAAGCCUGAUCCAGCAAUACCGCGUGAGUGAAGAAGGCCUUAGGGUUGUAAAGCUCUUUCAGCAGGGAAAAUAAUGAUGGUACCUGCAAAAGAAGUUCCGGCUAACUCCGUGCCAGCAGCCGCGGUAAUACGGAGGGAACUAGCGUUGUUCGGAUUUACUGGGCGUAAAGGGCGCGUAGGCGGUCUGUUAAGUUAAAAGUGAAAGCCUGGGGCUUAACCCCAGAACUGCUUCUAAAACUGGCAGACUAGAGUGCGGGAGAGGAUAGUGGAAUUCCUAGUGUAGAGGUGAAAUUCUUAGAUAUUAGGAGGAACACCGGUGGCGAAAGCGACUAUCUGGAACGUUACUGACGCUGAGGCGCGAAAGCGUGGGGAGCAAACAGGAUUAGAUACCCGAGU